RNAcentral lists this ribosomal RNA (1107 nucleotides) under Paracaprella pusilla. Its description in RNAcentral is "partial large subunit ribosomal RNA". It matches the Rfam family "Eukaryotic large subunit ribosomal RNA", at positions 83 to 901 of the family's 3401-position model. The record is from RNAcentral. Lineage: Eukaryota; Metazoa; Arthropoda; Malacostraca; Amphipoda; Caprellidae.
GUAGUGGCGAACGAAAAGGAAGGAGCCCAGCGCAGAACGUUCCGGGGCACUCGCCCUGAGAAUGAAUGUUGCGUUAAGGAUAUUGGCAUACACCCAUGGCAGUUACACUUUGCUAAGUCAGCCUCGAAUGGUUCUCGUGAAGCCGGUAACACGGUGAGACUCCAGGGAGGGUGUUAGACCCGUGUGAAGGUGCAAUCUGCUUGGGCAAGCCGAUAUCCCGAGAGUCGCGUUGUUUGAACAUGCAGCGCUAAGCAGGUCGUAGACUCGAUCUAAGGCUAAAUAUGUCCACAGAACCGAUAGUUAACAAGUACCGUGAGGGAAAGUUGAAAAGCACUCCGUAACGGAGAGUCAAAAGACCGUGAAACCACUCAGAGUAUAAGCCAAUGGUGUCUGGAAGGUCCUGUGCUUACAUCUUGGUGUCAAGGACUCAUGCGAACCUCAGCACUUGCGGGAGCAAUCUCCGUUGCUUUGGUAAGCUUGUCCGCUGAAGCACUCCGUUGACCCACCUGGCUCGUUGUGAGGUGUCCUGAGAGCAAAGCGAAGUGUUAAGAUUGGCUUGGAGUUGGGCGUGGGCGUCUCGAUGCCUUUCGCACUCUCCUUUUCGAGCACUUCUUCAGUUCUAUUCGCACAAAGUGUGGUAGUCUUGGAGUGUGCGCUGCUUGACGCUCUCUGGAACCAUCCUCUGCGACGAAGCUUCAAUGCCUUAGUGAGCGGCCGUCUUCCUCCUCGGGAGUCGGUACAUUGGCGCGGCUUGCACACUGUCGGUGCUCCGCUGUUCAACUCUGGCGCAAGGUGUUACGUCCGAUACCAUUGGUCACGUCUCGAAACACGGGCCAAGGAGUAUAGCGUGUGUGCAAGUCUAAGGGUUCCACAAAACCUGGAGGCGUAGUGAAAGCGAGUUAUGGUGUCUCACUGGACUGAUGGAGAAGGCAGUGAUGCGUGAUCCCGCAAGUCCCGGACUCGUCGUCUGCACUGCUUCGGUUGUGUUAGCGCGAGCACCGCAGAGCACAUACGCUAUGACCCGAAAGAUAGUGAACUAUGCUUGGCGAGGGUGAAGCCCCAGGAAACUGGGGUGGAGGCCCGUAGCCGUUGUGACGUGCAAAUCCA